GGACUGGGAUAACCCUGGGAAACUGGGGAUAAUACUAGAUAGGCAAUUUUUCCUGGAAUGGUUUUUUGUUUAAAUGUUUUUUCGCCUAAGGAUGGGUCUGCGGCCGAUUAGGUAGUUGGUUAGGUAACGGCUUACCAAGCCAUUGAUCGGUACGGGUUGUGAGAGCAAGAGCCCGGAGAUGGAACCUGAGACAGGGUUCCAGGCCCUACGGGGUGCAGCAGGCGCGAAACCUCCGCAAUGUGAGAAAUCGCGACGGGGGGAUCCCAAGUGCCAUUCUUAACGGGAUGGCUUUUCAUUAGUGUAAAGAGCUUUUGGAAUAAGGGCUGGGCAAGACCGGUGCCAGCCGCCGCGGUAACACCGGCAGCUCUAGUGGUAGCAGUUUUUAUUGGGCCUAAAGCGUCCGUAGCCGGUUUAAUAAGUCUCUGGUGAAAUCCUGUAGCUUAACUGUGGGAAUUGCUGGAGAUACUAUUAGACUUGAGACCGGGAGAGGUUAGAGGUACUCCCAGGGUAGAGGUGAAAUUCUGUAAUCCUGGGAGGACCGCCUGUUGCGAAGGCGUCUAACUGGAACGGUUCUGACGGUGAGGGACGAAAGUUAGGGGCGCGAACCGGAUUAGAUACCCGGGUAGUCCUAACUGUAAACGAUGCGGACUUGGUGUUGGGGUGGCUUUGAGCUGCUCCAGUGCCGAAGGGAAGCUGUUAAGUCCGCCGCCUGGGAAGUACGGUCGCAAGACUGAAACUUAA
RNAcentral lists this ribosomal RNA (741 nucleotides) under uncultured archaeon. RNAcentral's name for it is "bacterial SSU rRNA". It matches the Rfam family "Archaeal small subunit ribosomal RNA", at positions 118 to 859 of the family's 1478-position model. The record is from RNAcentral.